UACGAAGGGGGCUAGCGUUGUUCGGAAUUACUGGGCGUAAAGCGUGUGUAGGUGGUUGUCGUAGUCAGGGGUGAAAGCCUUGAGCUCAACUCAAGAAAUGCACUUGAUACUGGAUAACUAGAGGACCGGAGAGGAUAGUGGAAUUCCCAGUGUAGUGGUGAAAUACGUAGAGAUUGGGAAGAACACCAGUGGCGAAGGCGGCUAUCUGGACGGUUUCUGACACUAAGACUCGAAAGCGUGGGGAGCAAACAGG
RNAcentral lists this ribosomal RNA (253 nucleotides) under uncultured bacterium. RNAcentral describes it as "partial 16S ribosomal RNA". It matches the Rfam family "Bacterial small subunit ribosomal RNA", at positions 524 to 776 of the family's 1533-position model. The record is from RNAcentral.